RNAcentral lists this ribosomal RNA (322 nucleotides) under uncultured Bacillota bacterium. RNAcentral's name for it is "bacterial SSU rRNA". It matches the Rfam family "Bacterial small subunit ribosomal RNA", at positions 28 to 351 of the family's 1533-position model. Lineage: Bacteria; Bacillati; Bacillota. The record is from RNAcentral.
GACGAACGCUGGCGGCGUGCUUAACACAUGCAAGUCGAACGGAGAUGUUAGUAAUAACAUCUUAGUGGCGGACGGGUGAGUAACGCGUGGGCAACUUGCCUCGGACUGGGGGAUAACACAGGGAAACUUGUGCUAAUACCGCAUAACAUGGUUGAAGGACAUCCUUCGAUCAUCAAAGGAGUAAUCCGGUUUGAGAUGGGCCCGCGUCCGAUUAGCUAGUUGGCGGUGUAAUGGACCACCAAGGCGACGAUCGGUAGCCGAACUGAGAGGUUGAUCGGCCACAUUGGGACUGAGACACGGCCCAGACUCCUACGGGAGGCAG